GACAGAGGGGGCAAGCGUUGCUCGGAAUCACUGGGCGUAAAGCGCGCGUAGGCGGACCUGCAAGUCGGGGGUGAAAGCCCGAGGCUCAACCUCGGAACUGCCUUCGAUACUGCGGGUCUCGAGUCCGGGAGAGGUGAGUGGAAUUCCUAGUGUAGAGGUGAAAUUCGUAGAUAUUAGGAAGAACACCAGUGGCGAAGGCGGCUCACUGGCCCGGUACUGACGCUGAGGCGCGAAAGCGUGGGGAGCAAACAGG
RNAcentral lists this ribosomal RNA (253 nucleotides) under uncultured bacterium. RNAcentral's name for it is "partial 16S ribosomal RNA". It matches the Rfam family "Bacterial small subunit ribosomal RNA", at positions 524 to 776 of the family's 1533-position model. The record is from RNAcentral.